Molecule: ribosomal RNA, 321 nt
Filed under: Schmidingerella taraikaensis
Lineage: Eukaryota; Ciliophora; Spirotrichea; Tintinnida; Rhabdonellidae
Description: partial Bacterial large subunit ribosomal RNA
Rfam family: Bacterial large subunit ribosomal RNA
Source: RNAcentral
GGCUUUGAAGCGGUGACGCCAGUCAUCGUGGAGCCUCCCUUGAGAUACCACCCUUCGCACUCUUGAUGUCUAACCGCGGUCCGUUAUCCGGAUCCGGGACCCUGCGUGGCGGGUAGUUUGACUGGGGCGGUCGCCUCCUAAAUCGUAACGGAGGCGCGCGAAGGUUGGCUCAGAGCGGUCGGAAAUCGCUCGUUGAGUGCAAUGGCAGAAGCCAGCCUGACUGCGAGACUGACAAGUCGAGCAGAGUCGAAAGACGGCCAUAGUGAUCCGGUGGUCCCGAGUGGAAGGGCCAUCGCUCAACGGAUAAAAGGUACGCCGGGG